AGGAUGAACGCUAGCUACAGGCUUAACACAUGCAAGUCGAGGGGCAGCAUGGUCUUAGCUUGCUAAGGCCGAUGGCGACCGGCGCACGGGUGAGUAACACGUAUCCAACCUGCCGUCUACUCUUGGACAGCCUUCUGAAAGGAAGAUUAAUACAAGAUGGCAUCAUGAGUCCGCAUGUUUACAUGAUUAAAGGUAUUCCGGUAGACGAUGGGGAUGCGUUCCAUUAGAUAGUAGGCGGGGUAACGGCCCACCUAGUCUUCGAUGGAUAGGGGUUCUGAGAGGAAGGUCCCCCACAUUGGAACUGAGACACGGUCCAAACUCCUACGGGAGGCAGCAGUGAGGAAUAUUGGUCAAUGGGCGAGAGCCUGAACCAGCCAAGUAGCGUGAAGGAUGACUGCCCUAUGGGUUGUAAACUUCUUUUAUAAAGGAAUAAAGUCGGGUAUGGAUACCCGUUUGCAUGUACUUUAUGAAUAAGGAUCGGCUAACUCCGUGCCAGCAGCCGCGGUAAUACGGAGGAUCCGAGCGUUAUCCGGAUUUAUUGGGUUUAAAGGGAGCGUAGAUGGAUGUUUAAGUCAGUUGUGAAAGUUUGCGGCUCAACCGUAAAAUUGCAGUUGAUACUGGAUAUCUUGAGUGCAGUUGAGGCAGGCGGAAUUCGUGGUGUAGCGGUGAAAUGCUUAGAUAUCACGAAGAACUCCGAUUGCGAAGGCAGCCUGCUAAGCUGCAACUGACAUUGAGGCUCGAAAGUGUGGGUAUCAAACAGGAUUAGAUACCCUGGUAGUCCACACGGUAAACGAUGAAUACUCGCUGUUUGCGAUAUACUGCAAGCGGCCAAGCGAAAGCGUUAAGUAUUCCACCUGGGGAGUACGCCGGCAACGGUGAAACUCAAAGGAAUUGACGGGGGCCCGCACAAGCGGAGGAACAUGUGGUUUAAUUCGAUGAUACGCGAGGAACCUUACCCGGGCUUAAAUUGCAGAUGAAUUACGGUGAAAGCCGUAAGCCGCAAGGCAUCUGUGAAGGUGCUGCAUGGUUGUCGUCAGCUCGUGCCGUGAGGUGUCGGCUUAAGUGCCAUAACGAGCGCAACCCUUGUUGUCAGUUACUAACAGGUUCCGCUGAGGACUCUGACAAGACUGCCAUCGUAAGAUGUGAGGAAGGUGGGGAUGACGUCAAAUCAGCACGGCCCUUACGUCCGGGGCUACACACGUGUUACAAUGGGGGGUACAGAGGGCCGCUACCACGCGAGUGGAUGCCAAUCCCCAAAACCUCUCUCAGUUCGGACUGGAGUCUGCAACCCGACUCCACGAAGCUGGAUUCGCUAGUAAUCGCGCAUCAGCCACGGCGCGGUGAAUACGUUCCCGGGCCUUGUACACACCGCCCGUCAAGCCAUGGGAGCCGGGGGUACCUGAAGUGCGUAACCGCGAGGAGCGCCCUAGGGUAAAACUGGU
This 1442-nucleotide ribosomal RNA is filed under the name uncultured organism. RNAcentral's name for it is "SSU rRNA". It matches the Rfam family "Bacterial small subunit ribosomal RNA". The record is from RNAcentral.